CAUAGCGACUAUCGUGGCAUAUCAAUAAGCGGAGGAAAAGAAACUAACAUAGGAUUCCCUCAGUAACGGCGAGUGAAGCGGGAAGAGCUCAAAUUUGAAAUCUUCAAGAUUUUACCUUGACGAAUUGUAGUUUAAAGAAGUGUUUUCUGUUGGAUGUUUUGGUAAAAGUUCUUUGGAAUAGGACAUCAUAGAGGGUGAGAAUCCCGUAUUUGACCAUUACUUUCCAGCUGUUGUGAUAUACUUUCAAAGAGUCGGAUUGUUUGGGAAUGCAGUCCUAAAUGGGUGGUAAAUUUCAUCUAAAGCUAAAUAUUGGCGAGAGACCGAUAGCGAACAAGUACCGUGAGGGAAAGAUGAAAAGAACUUUGAAAAGAGAGUUAAACAGUACGUGAAAUUGUCAAAAGGGAAGCGUUUGACACCAGUGUUGUUUUCUCGAAAAUCAAUUAAAAAUGAUGGGAUUUUGUGUUGUAUUGACUUUAUCAGCUUUCUGCACUUUUUUCUUAUCUUUUUUAAUGCACUUUUCGUUUAACAAGUCAACAUCAAUUUCUUUUGUUGUAAAAGAGUCAUUGGAAGGUGGCUUUUUCUUCGGAAAAAGUGUUUAUAGCCUUUGGCUUCUGCAAUCGGAGAGAUUGAGGUCUGCAGCGUAGAUCCUUCGGGGUUAGAUACAUUUGUGCUAAGCUAUAGUUCUUUAUAGACAACUUGUUGACUAUAAUCAAUCCUGUAACUUACUCGCUUAUGCUAUUUUACCUACGCUUAGGAUGUUGACGAGACUGUCGAUCUC
Molecule: ribosomal RNA, 778 nt
Filed under: uncultured Neocallimastigales
Lineage: Eukaryota; Fungi; Neocallimastigomycota; Neocallimastigomycetes; Neocallimastigales
Description: partial large subunit ribosomal RNA
Rfam family: Eukaryotic large subunit ribosomal RNA (bases 5-697)
Source: RNAcentral